Molecule: long non-coding RNA, 5967 nt
Filed under: Homo sapiens (human)
Lineage: Eukaryota; Metazoa; Chordata; Mammalia; Primates; Hominidae
Description: HSALNT0198614
Source: RNAcentral
AAGUUGACUAGGGGUGGGCGCGAGUAAAAUCAUGACAUAUUCGAAUUCCAGUGGACAUUAGAUAUUCUUUGAGAGACGGCAGGAUCACAGAUGGAGAGACAUUUUGCCACACGAUGAAUCACACACCACAUCUCAUCCCCGAGCUUCAGCUGCAGGACAAUGCUGCCAGAGGCCUGGUCCUCAGAGCUCACGAUCUUAUCAAAUUUAAUGGGCACAUCUGAAGAAGGAAACUUGCUCAGCACCGUGAGCCCCACAGUGAAAGCACUUUUUGGCAAGACUAGAGUCUCACCGAUUUUCCCUUUCUCUCCUCGAUCUCCUUUCCAGCCUCUUAUUCCCCGGACUCCUGGCUCACCCUGGGGCCCCGUGGGUCCAGCUUCUCCCUUGGGACCAGGCUUUCCAAUAGGGCCCAUGGGGCCCGGUAAACCAGUUGGGCCCAAAGGCCCAAUGUUGCCCCUUGGCCCCUCAGGACCAGUGGGACCCACGUCACCCUUAUUCCCCUUCUGCCCCUGAGGCCCAGUCUCUCCUCGGAGGCCUUUCUCUCCCAUGGGCCCUGCAAGCCCCUUGGGGCCAUGUUUUCCUGGGGAUCCUCUUGAGCCUUGAUCACCUUUGAUGCCUUUUGCUUCAACUUUUCCAUCUGCUCCUAAAUAGAGAAAGAGCAAAUAAAGAGAUAGUUUGUGAAAGAUUCCCUUGUGAACAACUUUGGUUUUUCUAUAAUUGAGCUCACAAAUGAAACAAAGUAGUACACAGGUUCAGUAUAUGCCCAGAGUUUAAAAUUCAAUUACUCCAUCUGGGUGCGGUGGCUCACACCUGUAAUCCUAGCACCUUGGGAGACCGCGGCAGGAGGACUGCCUGAGGCCAAGAGUUCAAGACCAUCCCGGCCAACAUAGCAAUUCCCUGACUCUAAAAAAAUAAAAAUAAUAAAAAAAUAAGAAAAUAAAAUUCAAUUACUCCAGCCCAGCUCAGUGGCUUAUGCCUGUAAUCCUAGCACUUUGGGAGGCCAAGAGAGGCAGACUACUUGAGUCCAGGAAUUCAAGAUCAGGCUAGGCAACAUGGCAAAACCUCAUCUCUGCAAAAAGUACAAAAAUUAACCAGGUGCGGUGGCACACAAUUGUAGUCCCAGAUAUUCAGGAGGCUGAGGUGGGAGGAUGGCUUGAGCCCAGGAGGCUGAGGCUGCAGUGAUCCGUGAUCAAACCACUGCACUCCAGCCUGGGCAACAGAGUGAGACCCUGUCUCAAAAAAAUAAAUAAAAGUCAAUUACUCCAAUUACACACGUGUGUGCACAUGGACACACACACACACAUCCCAACACACCUUUUGACUACUGUCUACUAAAUUAGUGUCAGGGCUCACAUUAGAAAUUACAACCCUACCAUCUAAGUCUACCAUGCUGGCUAUUAAAUAAUGUCAAUCCAUGACAAAAAGCACUCUGCAGAGCAGAGACAGACAGAUUAACUGACACUCAACCCUAGUCGUGACAUCCUCUAAAAACCUCCUCCCUGGAGUGAACAUAAAAUAAAGCCUGCAUCGAGGCAUUGCCCUCUCCUGCCCAACCCCAGCCCCAACCCACCUAUCCCACCGGCAAUUCAUCAUCUACAGAAACCUUGCUGCUUCCUUGCACCCCCACCCAUACCAAAGAGCCGUCGUUGCAAGUGUGGACUCUGAGGCUAAGUGCCAGGUUUCCAUUCUGUCCCCAUAUGCACACAGGACGUCAGACGAGCUAGUGAGCCUCGUGCCUCUGUUCCCUCACCUACGGAACUGGGGUGAUAAAACUACCUAGUGUCUGGGGAUGUUGCAUUUGGUGAGUCAGUACAUGAAAAGCACAAAGUGAAGAUUACACAAGUUUGCCACUACGACUACAUCCCAACCCAUCAGGGACCAGUUCUAGUGCCACCUCCUCCAUGCAGUGCUGCCAGAUGCACCAAGUCAAAAACUCAGUCUCACUCCUCAGUGCUCAUCCACUGCAAGGUUCAAAGUUCAGCAAACUACAGCCACAGGCCAAAUUCAGCCUCCCUCCCGCAAGCAAAACAAACAUGGUUGACAUUUUUUUUGUUUUUCUGGUUUUUGUUUGUGACAGGGUCACUCACUCUGUUACCCAGGCUGGAGUGCAGUGAUGAGAUCAUGGCUCAUGGCAGCCUCAAACUCCCAGGCUCAAGUGAUCCUCCCAUCUCAGCCUCCUGAGUAGCUGGGACUACAGGCAUGUGCCACCAUGCCUGGCUAGUUUUUUUAUUUGUAUAGACAAAGUCUUACUAUGUUGCCCAGGGUGGUCUGGAACUCCUAGGUUCAAGCGAUUCUCUUACCUGGGCCUCCCAAAGUGUUGGGAUUACAGGUGUGAGGCAUGGUGCUCGGCCAUGGUUUGCAUGUUUAAAUGGUCACAAAUAAUAUUCCACAAUACAUGGAAACCAUGGGAAAUUCCCAUUUCAGUCUUCACACAUAUGGUGUCACUGGAACAGAGCCAUGCUUAUUUAUGGAGCAUCUACAGCUUCUUUUCACUACAAGGGGAAGUUGAGUAGUGGUGACAGAUCUGUGUGGAGUUGAGAAUAUUUACUACCCAGCCCUCUGCAAAGCCUGCCAAUCCCUGCAGAAUCCCCCCAUCUGGAGAGUAAGAACUGUGUUGCCUUUAUUAUAAGAUUAUAAUCAGCAUGGAGGACUUGUCCAUGGUAAUAUUGUUAAAUAGUCGACAGCUCAGAAUUAGAGCACCAUAAAUAGGAACUACUAACCUCGUUCUCCCUUCUCUCCACUCGUCCCAUCCUUCCCCGGGCUGCCAGGACAUCCUGGUUCUCCUAGGUGGAAAAGCAGAAAACAGGCAUGAGUUGAAAUUCCAUUUCUGAUUUUUCUGGCCAUUGGUCUCCAUCAGCCAUGUGUUGGAGAGUCUGGGGGUGACCCCCGCCCUGACGGGCACUCUGUCCUCCACACGAGCGCAGGUGGAGAGAGGCAGGCAUGAGCGGGCAUCUGGGGUGCUGAGCUGCGUGGGAUAAGUGACCUAAGAAAUGAACUGAGUGACUUCCCAAGCGCCCAUCUCUAGGACGUGCCUAGAGCGCACAGCAAGACAGGACGAAGAGGGAGUGUGUGCAAUGGGGACUGACUGUCACAAUUGAUUGUGUUCCUCUCCUGCGACAAGGACUUGGGACGUGGUCUGAAUGUUGGAGGUGCGAGGAGGUUUCCUCACUCUGUUUCUCUUCCAUUACUCUUGAGGAGAGUGGAAUGGAAGAUUUACUAGGCUCCUAUGAAAACACAGAUGACUAUGGUUACGUGACACUAUCCCAAGAUAGAAGAGAGAGUUCUGGAGGGAUCCCUCUAGUGCCUUACACUGGGGGAAAUGCUACUAAUCGAGCUGGCAGAGAACAUCAGGUGAGUGGGGCUCUGCUGACUACACUCAAGUCCUUGUGCUCAGAACAGGCCCCCCUGAGCUCCAGGUCGGCGUGCUAUCCGUCAGCGGGUUGAAGGUGGCUCUGGCUAUGGCAGUAGAGUGCUCAUUGGGCCACAGCUCACCCCAGACUCUGGCUUCUCACAAAGCAGCAGAGACUCCCAUACUUCAGACCCACUGACGUGGCUGUGGGGCGACAGGCGCAGGCUGGGCCGGCUUGCAGGUCCUGAGACAGGACUGACACAGGCAGACUUAUUUCUGUCACGAUGUCUGUUCUCCUGGGACACCAGCGCUCCUGAGUGGGGCCUUGGUCAGCGUGGGACCUCUGAAUGGAGGGGGCUUAUCCCUACAUUUGCCCCUCCCUGCGCUCCCCUUCCCUCCCCUCUACUGGCUGCUCCCCUGUGUCUUCCUCUCCUUCCCUCUUUUUGUUCCCCUGCUUGGCUCUCGUUUCUCCCAUUCUCUAGAGCAGUGGCCUCUGAGCUUUCAUGAUCACGCACCACAACUCACAAAGCAUGAACACAGACCCCAAUCAGUAGACAUUUAUAUGUUUCUACAUUAUGCACAGGUAGUAUAUGAAAAAUAUGUUUGGUAUAAAACAUACACAAAAAUACACUUUAAGAUGGUAAGAUAAAAAUGAAGUAAAUUUUUAGUGUGAGCAAUGUGAUUGAAUGUCCUUCUAAGAAAGAAUAUAUAUUACAAAUAAUACUUAUGAAUUACAUAGAAAAAAUAGAUAUAACAUUUGCUUCUAAGAAGUAUGUAAAACUUGAAAGAAUGGACAUUGGUGAGCAGAGGAGAGAAAUUCAACACGGAAGAGGUAGAGAAAUUUGGUAUUGAAUAUAGAAGUGUUUGUCUUAGUUCUCUGUAUUUUGUAUCACCUAUUUAUCUCCUUUUAUGUGUAAUAUUUUAUAACAAAAAUUUAAAAAAUGAAAAUCCUAAACAUUCAGAAAUAAAAUACACACAGACACAGACAUACACACACACACACACACACACACACACACCACUGUGGUCACAGUGUGAGGGCAGAAGACCUGAUUUCAUUAAGGGUAAGGUUUUAGUAUUCAUUUGGACUGGGCUAUUUGCUACCGGGGGACUGGAACAGUCUCAAUGAGCUGGAGAUGUGAGGAGCCAGGAGAAGACACCUCACAGAGCAGAUGUGCCGGUUAGAAAGAAAUAAAGUUGCUUCCUGGUGACCCUUGGCUUCAUCCAGCCCAUUCAAAAAACUAUCAGGCCACCAAAUGCCAUAAAGUGAGACAUGUUAGAAACACAAACUUAUUUGUAAAAAGGUCCAUAGAAGUUUUGAUAUUUUCUUUCUAAUGCCACUGAACUGUGCUCUUAACCCAGUGAAUCAUUCUGCAUAAGUCUUAGAUAUGUGACCCUAUGGUCAAGACCAGGCCUCAAGAAUGGUACCCCAUUCAGAAACCAAGUCUAUUGGUUGUUGUUAUGGAAAGCACUCAGACUUCCAGGCUUUGGCAAAUCUCCCUCCCAGAGGAUGGAUUCUGUCCCCAGAUCCCCAGACCCUGCCUAGGUCAUAGAUUCAUAAGCAGCAGCUGUAUGUGUCAUCUGUCACUCCGCAUCUCCUGCUUCAUGACAUGAUAUGGUAUUAGCUCUCACCUGCACUGCAGCUGGGUGCUUGCUGCCAAAUAAUUCAUGAUCAGAUCUCUCUAUUGGCCUCGUGUUGCCAAAAAUCCAACAUACCUGUCACCUGAGGUGGGAGGAUCCAUGACAUUGUAUACUACUGAAAAUGUCCUGCGGUGUCAGAGAUGAGAGAACCCAGGAGGGCAGGGGUCAUGGCGAUCUGGCCCUGUGCUCUCCACCAGCACCUGGCACAGAGUCUGGCAUGGAGCAGACCCCGUGAGUGUUGCUGGGCAGAUGGGUGGAUGGAUGAAUGGGGUCAGGCUCCAGUGAAUGUUGCUGGGUGGAUGGAUGGAUGGGUUGUGAGUGGGUAGGUGGAAAACCACACAGAUGAUGAGUGAAUGAGAUGAAAGUAAUGAAGAGAGAAGCUCAAAGGCAGCCGAAGCCGUCAGGUGAGUACCUGCAUCGCCUUUGUCACCCUUCGCUCCGUCUCGUCCAUCUCUUCCAGGCAGACCAUUGUGACCGGGGUUCCCAGGGAUUCCAGGGUGCCCUUGCCUGCAGGUGUCCUGUGAGUUUAUGUUCCCUGUGCAGAUUUCAAUGGCAAGCAGAAGCCACCAGAUCCUCAUGGUUCAGAUGACAGACUGAACUGAAAGAGGGAAACAGAAACCCAGAGGAGAAACCUUUGUUGCUGGGGCCCUGGACACAGCCUCCGUUCUGUGCAGUGGGAAAUGGAUGAGCUGUCCCCUGCCCCAGACCCACACCUGGACAGACUUGGCAGAAGACUCAGGGCAGGGGAGCAAGCUGGUUAUUACCAGGAUGACAUUGUCCUUGGAAGGUAACACUUGUGAUUGGAACCACUCUUCAAGCUGAACGGGCAAUAAAAAAAAGCCAAGUUUAAGGUCAGGAUACUCUUCCGUUCAUCAUUUCACUUUGAAGAAAUCACUUCUCUUAACCACAGACCAAUGCUUACUUAUCUCACAGGACUAUUGUAAAAAUCAAAUUUUAUCACAAUAUGCAUAAAGGCACAU